UACGUAGGGUGCAAGCGUUAAUCGGAAUUACUGGGCGUAAAGCGUGCGCAGGCGGUUAUGCAAGACAGAGGUGAAAUCCCCGGGCUCAACCUGGGAAUUGCAUUUGAAACUGGGAAACUAGAGUGUGUGAGAGGGGGGUAGAAUUCCAAGUGUAGCGGUGAAAUGCGUAGAGAUGUGGAGGAACACCGAUGGCGAAGGCAGCCCCCUGGGUCAAGAUUGACGCUCAUGCACGAAAGCGUGGGGAGCAAACAGG
Molecule: ribosomal RNA, 253 nt
Filed under: uncultured bacterium
Lineage: Bacteria
Description: partial 16S ribosomal RNA
Rfam family: Bacterial small subunit ribosomal RNA
Source: RNAcentral